UACGUAGGUGGCAAGCGUUGUCCGGAAUUAUUGAGCGUAAAGCGCGCGCAGGUGGUUCUUUAAGUCUGAUGUGAAAGCCCACGGCUCAACCGUGGAGGGUCAUUGGAAACUGGGGAACUUGAGUGCAGAAGAGGAAAGUGGAAUUCCACGUGUAGCGGUGAAAUGCGUAGAGAUGUGGAGGAACACCAGUGGCGAAGGCGACUUUCUGGUCUGUAACUGACACUGAGGCGCGAAAGCGUGGGGAGCAAACAGG
Molecule: ribosomal RNA, 253 nt
Filed under: uncultured bacterium
Lineage: Bacteria
Description: partial 16S ribosomal RNA
Rfam family: Bacterial small subunit ribosomal RNA
Source: RNAcentral